UAUGGAGUUGAGACAACGGAGGGAUGAUAUGUUAAAUCUUUUGUGGAGGUAACUGUGAAUAGGGGAGUUCCACGCCAUGAAGUAAUAAGAAUUGUGGUUCUCUUGAGGUGGAAUAAGUAAAAUCUGAGGAGUAGGAAGCAACUUAUGCUUUUAAUACCCUAAAGUAUCGGUACCAUUUUAAAGUAUGAGAUGUCAAUUUUUCAUAUCGAGAGUAUUAUAAAUAUUUUUUUUAAAGAGUAAGAGCUGAGUACAAUGCUGUAACAUUGAUGUUAGGAAAUGUGUC
Molecule: long non-coding RNA, 283 nt
Filed under: Elaeis guineensis (African oil palm)
Lineage: Eukaryota; Viridiplantae; Streptophyta; Magnoliopsida; Arecales; Arecaceae
Description: long non-coding RNA (EGUI_LNC050610)
Source: RNAcentral